RNAcentral lists this ribosomal RNA (253 nucleotides) under uncultured bacterium. RNAcentral's name for it is "partial 16S ribosomal RNA". It matches the Rfam family "Bacterial small subunit ribosomal RNA", at positions 524 to 776 of the family's 1533-position model. The record is from RNAcentral.
GACGGAGGGUGCUAGCGUUGUUCGGAAUUACUGGGCGUAAAGGGCGCGUAGGCGGCCUGGCAAGUCGGAUGUGAAAGCCCGGGGCUCAACCUCGGAACGGCAUUCGAAACUGCUGGGCUGGAGAACGGAAGAGGAGAGUGGAAUACCCAGUGUAGAGGUGAAAUUCGUAGAUAUUGGGUGGAACACCGGUGGCGAAAGCGGCUCUCUGGUCCGGUUCUGACGCUGAGGCGCGAAAGCGUGGGGAGUAAACAGG